Molecule: long non-coding RNA, 420 nt
Filed under: Cavia porcellus (domestic guinea pig)
Lineage: Eukaryota; Metazoa; Chordata; Mammalia; Rodentia; Caviidae
Description: lncRNA (ENSCPOG00000031860.1)
Source: RNAcentral
GCCAUGUGAGGAGGAGCCCAGAAGCCUUUCCCAGGGAGGCUUUGCCACCGGAGAUGCCAGGCCCUGAUGAGCAGGCCUCCCUGCCCUGUGAGCUACCCUCCCACUGUCCUGGCCUAAUGUUGUUAGUGAUGGGACUUCCAGCAGCUGCUGGCCCUGAGCAAAAUCUUCAGAACUGGUGGGAGAUUAAACCCAACUGAUGGGGACUCAGCAGGAAAGGACACUGAUCAGGGAUCCCCGGACAGAACACCAGCCCUUCUCCUUCACAGUCUACAUAGAUCUGUGCUGGGAAGACCCAAGAGUCAGCAGUGGAAGCCAGAAAGUCUAUGCCAGCAGGAUGAAGGAGCUGUGCUAGUGGGAUGAGGGUUCUACGCUGGAGCCGAGAAGUCACACUCACAACAGAGACCAGGGCUGUCCUGAAAG